This 357-nucleotide long non-coding RNA is filed under the name Brassica napus (rape). Its description in RNAcentral is "long non-coding RNA (BNAP_LNC018427)". The record is from RNAcentral. Lineage: Eukaryota; Viridiplantae; Streptophyta; Magnoliopsida; Brassicales; Brassicaceae.
GCACCUCGUGCCAGCUUGUCCGCUAGAGUAUUUUGCGCCCUUGGUAUAUGCUGGAUAGUAAAGUUAAGAAAUAAUUCCUUACAUCGCAGAAACUCCUCCAUGUGUGUAGUGUACGCCGGCCAUUUUGUCGGUGUAGACACCAUCUUCACCAAUUGAGAACAAUCUGUUGCAAACACCAUCUCUGAGAUUUGUAGGGUCUUCAUUCACUCCAUCGCCCAUAUCAAAGCUUCACAUUCAGCAUGUAAAGGUGAUAGACUCCUGCGAAUAGACAUUGCACCCAUCAUAGUAUCAGUUGAUCCAUCUUUUCUGUAGACCCAUCCCUGCCCCGUAUAAAUAUCAUGUUCCUUCCAUGCUCCA